This 354-nucleotide ribosomal RNA is filed under the name uncultured bacterium. RNAcentral's name for it is "partial 16S ribosomal RNA". It matches the Rfam family "Bacterial small subunit ribosomal RNA", at positions 338 to 709 of the family's 1533-position model. The record is from RNAcentral.
CCUACGGGAGGCAGCAGUGGGGAAUAUUGCACAAUGGGGGAAACCCUGAUGCAGCAACGCCGCGUGAAUGAUGACGGCCUUCGGGUUGUAAAGCUCUUUCUUCAGGGACGAUAAUGACGGUACCUGAGGAGGAAGCAACGGCUAACUACGUGCCAGCAGCCGCGGUAAUACGUAGGUGGCGAGCGUUGUCCGGAUUUACUGGGCGUAAAGGGAGCGUAGGCGGGCUUAUAAGUCAGAUGUGAAAUACUCGGGCUCAACUUGAGUGCUGCAUUUCAAACUGGAAGUCUAGAGUGCAGGAGAGGUGAAUGGAAUUCCUAGUGUAGCGGUGAAAUGCGUAGAGAUUAGGAAGAACAC